Molecule: ribosomal RNA, 1251 nt
Filed under: metagenome
Description: bacterial LSU rRNA
Rfam family: Bacterial large subunit ribosomal RNA
Source: RNAcentral
CCAUAUACGACCGUACCGCAAACCGACACUGGUGCGCGAGAUGAGUAUUCUAAGGCGCUUGAGAGAACUCAGGAGAAGGAACUCGGCAAAUUGACACCGUAACUUCGGAAGAAGGUGUGCCCUAUUAGUGUGUAGUGAACAACGAAGCAUGAAUGGGUUGCAAAAAAUCGGUGGCUGCGACUGUUUAUUAAAAACACAGCACUCUGCAAACACGAAAGUGGACGUAUAGGGUGUGACGCCUGCCCGGUGCUGGAAGAUUAAAUGAUGGGGUGCAAGCUCUUGAUUGAAGUCCCAGUAAACGGCGGCCGUAACCAUAACGGUCCUAAGGUAGCGAAAUUCCUUGUCGGGUAAGUUCCGACCUGCACGAAUGGCGUAACGAUGGCCACACUGUCUCCUCCUGAGACUCAGCGAAGUUGAAAUGUUUGUGAUGAUGCAAUCUCCCCGCGGAAAGACGGAAAGACCCCAUGAACCUUUACUGUAGCUUUGUAUUGGACUUUGAACAGAUCUGUGUAGGAUAGGUGGGAGGCUUUGAAGCAGGGUCGCUAGAUCUUGUGGAGCCAACGUUGAAAUACCACCCUGGUGUGUUUGAGGUUCUAACCUAGGUCCAUUAUCUGGAUCGGGGACAGUGCAUGGUAGGCAGUUUGACUGGGGCGGUCUCCUCCCAAAGCGUAACGGAGGAGUUCGAAGGUACGCUAGUUACGGUCGGACAUCGUGACGAUAGUGCAAUGGCAUAAGCGUGCUUAACUGCGAGACUGACAAGUCGAGCAGAUGCGAAAGCAGGACAUAGUGAUCCGGUGGUUCUGUAUGGAAGGGCCAUCGCUCAACGGAUAAAAGGUACUCUGGGGAUAACAGGCUGAUACCGCCCAAGAGUUCAUAUCGACGGCGGUGUUUGGCACCUCGAUGUCGGCUCAUCUCAUCCUGGGGCUGUAGCCGGUCCCAAGGGUAUGGCUGUUCGCCAUUUAAAGAGGUACGUGAGCUGGGUUUAAAACGUCGUGAGACAGUUUGGUCCCUAUCUUCCGUGGGCGCUGCAGAUUUGAGGAAGCCUGCUCCUAGUACGAGAGGACCGGAGUGGACACACCUCUGGUGUAUCGGUUGUCACGCCAGUGGCAUUGCCGAGUAGCUAAGUGUGGAAGAGAUAACCGCUGAAAGCAUCUAAGCGGGAAACUCGUUUCAAGAUGAGAUCUGCCGGGGCCUUGAGCCCCCUAAAGAGUCGUUCAAGACCAGGACGUUGAUAGGUCAGGUGUGGAAGCG